GCCAAGCCACAGCGCCGCCUCCGUCCGACCUCCGCCGCUCCGCUGCUGCACCUCCGUCCGACGUUCGUCCAGCCGCCGAAGUUUCGCGCCGGUACUUGAUAUGGACAGACUAGUGGACUCUUUAAAUAAUGCAUAUCAGGAGUUUGUUGCGGGAGCAGCUAAUGUCCUUGAAGCAAAUGAAGCCUCUGGGGCUCAGAAGACAGCAGCAACAGAUGCUGCUCUUGAGAAUUUUAAACAGAAAUGGGAGCUAUUCAGGGUUGCUUGUG
Molecule: unclassified non-coding RNA, 266 nt
Filed under: Hevea brasiliensis (rubber tree)
Lineage: Eukaryota; Viridiplantae; Streptophyta; Magnoliopsida; Malpighiales; Euphorbiaceae
Source: RNAcentral